AGAGUUUGAUCAUGGCUCAGGACGAACGCUGGCGGCGUGCCUAACACAUGCAAGUCGAACGAGGUCCAUCCUUCGGGAGAAGACCUAGUGGCGAACGGGUGAGUAACACGUGAAGAACCUGCCCCGAAGACCGGGAUAACCCUCCGAAAGGAGAGCUAAUACCGGAUACCCCCACCGAACCGCAUGGUUUGGUGAGGAAAUGGAUUCCGCUUCGGGAGGGCUUCGCGGCCUAUCAGCUAGUUGGUGGGGUAACGGCCCACCAAGGGCAUCGACGGGUAGCUGGUCUGAGAGGACGAUCAGCCACACUGGGACUGAGACACGGCCCAGACUCCUACGGGAGGCAGCAGUGGGGAAUCUUGCGCAAUGGGCGAAAGCCUGACGCAGCAACGCCGCGUGGGGAUGAAGGCUCUCGGGUUGUAAACCCCUUUCAGCAGGGACGAAUCAAGACGGUACCUGCAGAAGAAGCCCCGGCUAACUACGUG
This 482-nucleotide ribosomal RNA is filed under the name uncultured bacterium. Its description in RNAcentral is "bacterial SSU rRNA". It matches the Rfam family "Bacterial small subunit ribosomal RNA", at positions 8 to 507 of the family's 1533-position model. The record is from RNAcentral.